RNAcentral lists this ribosomal RNA (497 nucleotides) under uncultured bacterium. RNAcentral describes it as "partial 16S ribosomal RNA". It matches the Rfam family "Bacterial small subunit ribosomal RNA", at positions 28 to 507 of the family's 1533-position model. The record is from RNAcentral.
GAUGAACGCUGGCGGCGUGCCUAAUACAUGCCAGUCGAGCGAACGGACGAGAAGCUUGCUUCUCUGAUGUUAGCGGCGGACGGGUGAGUAACACGUGGAUAACCUACCUAUAAGACUGGGAUAACUUCGGGAAACCGGAGCUAAUACCGGAUAAUAUUUUGAACCGCAUGGUUCAAAAGUAAAAGACGGUCUUGCUGUCACUUAUAGAUGGAUCCGCGCUGCAUUAGCUAGUUGGUAAGGUAACGGCUUACCAAGGCAACGAUGCAUAGCCGACCUGAGAGGGUGCUCGGCCACACUGGAACUGAGACACGGUCCAGACUCCUACGGGAGGCAGCAGUAGGGAAUCUUCCGCAAUGGGCGAAAGCCUGACGGAGCAACGCCGCGUGAGUGAUGAAGGUCUUCGGAUCGUAAAACUCUGUUAUUAGGGAAGAACAUAUGUGUAAGUAACUGUGCACAUCUUGACGGUACCUAAUCAGAAAGCCACGGCUAACUACGUG